Molecule: ribosomal RNA, 559 nt
Filed under: uncultured bacterium
Lineage: Bacteria
Description: bacterial SSU rRNA
Rfam family: Bacterial small subunit ribosomal RNA
Source: RNAcentral
CGUGCUUACACAUGCAAGUCGAGUGCGCGUCUGUAGCAAUACAGAUGGCGCACGGCGCACGGGUGCGUAACACGUGGGUAAUCUGCCCUUCGAAGGGGAAUAACUCGCCGAAAGGCGAGCUAAUUCCGCAUAACAUUCCGAGAACCUUGGUUUUUGGAUUCAAAGGCGUAAGUCGUCGGAGGAGGAGCCCGCGCACGAUUAGCUAGUUGGUGAGGUAACGGCUCACCAAGGCUAUGAUCGUUAGCUGGUCUGAGAGGAUGGCCAGCCACACUGGAACUGAGACACGGUCCAGACUCCUACGGGAGGCAGCAGUGGGGAAUCUUGCACAAUGGGCGAAAGCCUGAUGCAGCGACGCCGCGUGGGGGAUGAAGCUUCUCGGAGUGUAAACCCCUUUCGACCCGGACGAAUGCCCCGCAAGGGGACUGACGGUACGGGUAUAAGAAGCCCCGGCUAACUACGUGCCAGCAGCCGCGGUAAGACGUAGGGGGCCAGCGUUGCUCGGAAUUACUGGGUGUAAAGGGUUCGUAGGCGGUGUGGCAAGUCGGGAGUGAAAUCUCUA